CCUACGGGUGGCAGCAGUGAGGAAUAUUGGGCAAUGGGCGAGAGCCUGAACCAGCCAAGUCGCGUGAAGGAUGACGGCCCUACGGGUGGUAAACUUCUUUUGGCAGGGAGCAAUUGAGUCCACGUGUGGGGUUAGCGAGAGGACCUGAAGAAAAAGCAUCGGCAAACUCCGUGCCAGCAGGCGCGGUAAUACGGAGGAUGCGAGUGUUAUCCGGAUUGAUUGGGUUAAGAGGGUGCGAAGGCGGAAUACCAAGUCAGAGGUAAAAAUUCGGGGCUCAACCCCGUCGUGCCGUUGAAACUGAUGUUCUUGAGUGGGCGAGAAGUCAGCGGAAUGCGUGGUGUAGCGGUGAAAUGCAUAGAUAUCAGGCAGAACUCCGAUUGCGAAGGCAGAAUACCGGCGCCCAACUGACGCUGAGGCACGAAAGCGUGGGUAGCGAACAGGAUUAGAUACCCGAGUAGUC
Molecule: ribosomal RNA, 460 nt
Filed under: uncultured bacterium
Lineage: Bacteria
Description: partial 16S ribosomal RNA
Rfam family: Bacterial small subunit ribosomal RNA
Source: RNAcentral